RNAcentral lists this ribosomal RNA (253 nucleotides) under uncultured bacterium. Its description in RNAcentral is "partial 16S ribosomal RNA". It matches the Rfam family "Bacterial small subunit ribosomal RNA", at positions 524 to 776 of the family's 1533-position model. The record is from RNAcentral.
UACGGGGGGGGCAAGCGUUGUUCGGAAUUACUGGGCGUAAAGGGCGCGUAGGCGGCCCUCUAAGUCGAACGUGAAAUCCCCGGGCUCAACCCGGGAACUGCGUCCGAUACUGGAGGGCUCGAGUGUGGGAGAGGGAUGCGGAAUUCCAGGUGUAGCGGUGAAAUGCGUAGAUAUCUGGAGGAACACCGGUGGCGAAGGCGGCAUCCUGGACCACGACUGACACUGAAAAGCGAAAGCCAGGGGAGCAAACGGG